CACAUUUCCAUGUCUUUUUUGCCUUUCACAGGGAAAGACAGAACACCUGUAUAAUUGGAUGCCCUGCAAACUAUGUGGAAAAACGUGGCCUCCAACCUGGGAGGCUGCUUGAGACUUUCACACACACAUUUUCUCACUCCAGCUCUAUCAAAUUCUAACAUGAUCCUCAUGUUCAAAGAGGGCCUUGUCUCUAUCCCACCUGUUCACUCUUGCUCUCAGAAAGCUUUCAGACACACACACUGACACUGACACAAAUACAAUAUUGAAUUUUAAUGUUUAUUUUAAUUUGUUGAAUAUGAAUAUUUUAAUAAAGAUUUAUGAAGCUUU
Molecule: non-coding RNA, 327 nt
Organism: Misgurnus anguillicaudatus (oriental weatherfish)
Lineage: Eukaryota; Metazoa; Chordata; Actinopteri; Cypriniformes; Cobitidae
Source: RefSeq, a predicted model, not a curated record